RNAcentral lists this transfer RNA (26 nucleotides) under Passerina falcifolia. Its description in RNAcentral is "tRNA-Leu(UAA)". The record is from RNAcentral. Lineage: Eukaryota; Viridiplantae; Streptophyta; Magnoliopsida; Malvales; Thymelaeaceae. RNAcentral also lists the same sequence under 1 other name.
AAAAUCCGUCGACUUUUAAAAUCGUG